GCGCCCAUUCAAUGGGUGGAUUACAACUUUGCCAAAGUAGUCUCGCAUUGCCUCAUUUAGAAUGCAACUGGCGCCAAAAGGAUGCAUCUGGAUUACCGAGACUGAUGGCAGUCCUAAACAAAUGUAUGGCCAGUACAAGGAAGAUUUAGAAGCUUAUGCAAAAGCUGAAGCUAGAAGACUGAAAGCAUUACAAAAAUUGAGAAAAAAAGAAGAAACGAUAAGAAAGAAGCAACUAAAAACUUACCGUAGUGCGUGGCAAAGAAGACUUGCAGGGUACUUCACAGCAUUUUGGCAUCACACAUUUGCCAAAUUAGGUGAAGAUUGGGUAUUUCUUGCUGUACUUGGCAUUCUUACCUCCUUAAUUAGUUUUGGCAUGGAUUAUGCAAUAGCAAUAUGCUUAAGAA
Molecule: long non-coding RNA, 404 nt
Organism: Uloborus diversus
Lineage: Eukaryota; Metazoa; Arthropoda; Arachnida; Araneae; Uloboridae
Exons: 3
Source: RefSeq, a predicted model, not a curated record